GAUGAACGCUGGCGGCGUGCCUAAUACAUGCAAGUCGAGCGAACAGACGAGGAGCUUGCUCCUCUGACGUUAGCGGCGGACGGGUGAGUAACACGUGGAUAACCUACCUAUAAGACUGGGAUAACUUCGGGAAACCGGAGCUAAUACCGGAUAACAUGUUGAACCGCAUGGUUCAACAGUGAAAGACGGUCUUGCUGUCGCUUAUAGAUGGAUCCGCGCCGCAUUAGCUAGUUGGUAAGGUAACGGCUUACCAAGGCAACGAUGCGUAGCCGACCUGAGAGGGUGAUCGGCCACACUGGAACUGAGACACGGUCCAGACUCCUACGGGAGGCAGCAGUAGGGAAUCUUCCGCAAUGGGCGAAGGCCUGACGGAGCAACGCCGCGUGAGUGAAGAAGGUCUUCGGAUCGUAAAACUCUGUUAUUAGGGAAGAACAAAUGUGUAAGUAACUAUGCACGUCUUGACGGUACCUAAUCAGAAAGCCACGGCUAACUACGUG
RNAcentral lists this ribosomal RNA (497 nucleotides) under uncultured bacterium. RNAcentral describes it as "partial 16S ribosomal RNA". It matches the Rfam family "Bacterial small subunit ribosomal RNA", at positions 28 to 507 of the family's 1533-position model. The record is from RNAcentral.